RNAcentral lists this ribosomal RNA (292 nucleotides) under uncultured bacterium. Its description in RNAcentral is "partial 16S ribosomal RNA". It matches the Rfam family "Bacterial small subunit ribosomal RNA", at positions 505 to 796 of the family's 1533-position model. The record is from RNAcentral.
GUGCCAGCAGCCGCGGUAAUACGAAGGGGGCUAGCGUUGUUCGGAUUUACUGGGCGUAAAGCGCGUGUAGGCGGGCCGGUAAGUUGGGGGUGAAAUCCCGAGGCUCAACCUCGGAACUGCCUCCAAAACUGUCGGCCUGGAGCAAGAUAGAGGCGAGUGGAAUUGCGAGUGUAGAGGUGAAAUUCGUAGAUAUUCGCAGGAACACCAGUGGCGAAGGCGACUCGCUGGAUCUUUGCUGACGCUGAGACGCGAAAGCGUGGGGAGCAAACAGGAUUAGAUACCCUUGUAGUCC